This 2788-nucleotide unclassified non-coding RNA is filed under the name Mizuhopecten yessoensis (Yesso scallop). RNAcentral describes it as "uncharacterized LOC110457002, transcript variant X1". The record is from RNAcentral. Lineage: Eukaryota; Metazoa; Mollusca; Bivalvia; Pectinida; Pectinidae.
ACUCCGAAAGAAGAAUUGGCGCCAACAUGGAAAACUUUAUUGACACACCAACAUCCCAAACAUGGGAAAGAGUUUACGGUUUAUAUGACAAAGUUUUAAUUGUCAAGUCAAAAAAAAUGAAAGGCGACAAAGAAAAACAAUUAAAGGACUUGGAUUACUGGUAUCAAGAGGAACUCCCAGUUGCUAUCAAAGGAAGAAAAGAAAGGCAUGUGACUCACGAGGAGCUUUGUAAACUAAUGAAAUGGAAACUGAUGAGAGGAAAAUUUCGACCUCGUUUGGAACAGAUGGUUCAGAGUAACAGUGAGGAAGAUGUGAAGGCUGCAAGUCUGAAAGGCUUUAAAGAGCUUCCAAACCUGUCCAACGCCAUCAAAGCACUUACAGUCCUGAAGGCAAUAGGUCCAGCGACUGCUUCUGCUGUUUUGGCAGCAGGUGCCCCAGACAAGGCAGCAUUCAUGGCUGAUGAGAGCAUGCUGGCUAUUCCAGAGUUAGCUCCCUUACAGUAUACGUUGCCAUUUUACAAUCAGUACAUGGACUAUGUGACAACAAUUACCAAAAAACUCAACAAAGAUCAAGAAGGAGACCGAAUCAAAUGGACCCCUCACAAGGUUGAGCUGACAUUGUGGACUUACCAAAUGGCUAAGACACUGUGUCCAGAAUUACUCCCUGAUGCCGAGGAUGAUUCAACUACACAAAAGAGAAAGAAAGUAUCAGAAAAUGGAAAAAAAGAUGACAAAACAAAGAAGCUUAAAACGUAAAAAGUGACUUUCUGGAAUGACAUUGUUAUUGUUUAUUUACUUCUUUUGCUACACUAAUUGGUACUUGAAAUAACAUUUUGUAUAAGUUUGUUAUCAAUUUAGCAGUAGAUAACAUAUCAGGGGUAGUCACUUCUAUAGCUCAGGUAAGUUAAAAUUGAAGUGACAAAGCUUAUACGUUGUAAUGGUAGUUUGUUAUGAGAUUAGACAGGUGUGUUCAAAAUUUUCUUUCGGUUAUAAAAAUAGAUGAGCUGUUAGCAACAUCGUUGAUGGUACGUUGUGUAUAUUUCUAAUAUGUCGGUUACUUAAAUCUAUACCUAUUUAGAAGUUAGUUAGUAUUUUGAUGAUCUAGCUUUGAAGGAUAUUGAUGUUUAUGAAGAUGUUGGGUUGAGAUUUGUACACAAUGAAGCAUGUUUUAUAUGUUGUUAUAUCUGUUGAAAAAUCUUAUUUACCCAAGAAGGUAAGAAAAACUUAAUAAGAUGUUUUAAUUGUCUUGUAAGGUUAUUAGAAUUACUGUGAUGAAGUAGCCAUUGAACAUAUUAUUAAUUUGUUGGCUGCUGUAGUAUUUUAAAAUUUCUAAAAUUAAGGAGGCUGGUGUAGUCACCCAAGGGGUACUGUCUUAUGUCUUAUGUCAGGGUUAAUGUUUAUGUGGCCUAAAAUUCUUGGACUUCAUUAAAAAACCAGGUAUCAUGGUCAAAGCUUGUUUUUGCUACUUGUCACACAGUAUAUAUACUGGACAGAUCUGCCUCAAAAAUUGUACACAGGAUCUCCUUGUCCUAGCUAGGACCAAAGAGAUCCUGUGUACAAUAUUUAAGAAAGAACUGUAGUUGUAGCUACAGUAAUACUGUAUAUGUACAUAUUUUAGCAAUAAUUGUAUUUCAACUUACUUCACGCUUAAAAUAAUGUAGUAAAAUGUGAUUGUACCACUUGAAGUUUUCUGAUAUUGUUUUCUCUUGCAUUUAUUGCAGGUUCACCAAAUAAUUUGAUAAUGCUGUAAAAUAUGAGUGUGCUAAAAUAAGUAAAUUUACAGUACUGGAUUACUUUCAUUUAUCAGACCCUAUGGGACUCUUGUACAGGUAAUAUCUCGGGUCAAUCACACACAAAACAUUUAAUGGGUUCUGUGAAUCCCGCAUCUUAACAUCAAAAGGCCCAGUGGGACUUUCAUGUAAUGUCUAACAUCAAAUAAACCUUAUGAGUCUCAAAUGUAACAUCCAACAGGCUCUAUGGGACUUGUAUCUAACAUGUAAAGGGCUCUAUAGGACUUGUAUCCAACAUGUAAAAGGCUCUAUAGGACUUGUAUCUAACAUGAAAAGGGCUCUAUGGGACUUGUAUCUUACAUGUAAAGGACUCUAUAGGACUUGUAUCUAACAUGUAAAGGGCUCGAUAGGACUUGUAUCUAACAUGUAAAGGGCUCGAUAGGACUUGUAUCUAACAUGUAAAGGGCUCUAUGAGACUUGUAUCUACCAUGUAAAGGGUUCUGUGGGACUUGUAUAUAACAUGUAAAGGGCUCUAUAGGACCUGUAUCCAACAUGUAAAAGGCUCUAUGGGACUUGUAUCUAACAUGUAAAGCGCUCUAUAGGACUUGUAUCUUACAUGUAAAGGGCUCUAUAGGCCUUGUAUCUAACAUGUAAAGGGCUCUAUGGGACUUAUAUCUAACAUGUAAAGGGCUCUAUGGGACUUAUAUCUAACAUGUAAAGGGCUCUAUAGGACUUGUAUCUAACAUGUAAAGCGCUCUAUAGGACUUGUAUCUUACAUGUAAAGGGCUCUAUGAUACUUGUAUCUAACAUGUAAAGGGUUCUGUGGGACUUGUAUCUAACAUGUAAAGGGCUCUAUGGGACUUGUAUCUAACAUGUAAAGCGCUCUAUAGGACUUGUAUCUUACAUGUAAAGGGUUCUGUGGGACUUGCAUCUAACAUGUAAAGGGCUCUAUGAGACUUGUAUCUAACAUGUAAAGGGUUCUUUGGGACUUGUAUCUAACAUGUAAAGGGCUCUAUGGGACUUAUAUCUAACAUGUAAAGGGCUCUAUAGGACUUGUAU